Long non-coding RNA from Rhinolophus ferrumequinum (greater horseshoe bat), 2531 nucleotides. RefSeq lists it as uncharacterized. The record is from RefSeq and is a predicted model, not a curated record. NCBI's taxonomy places the organism in Eukaryota, Metazoa, Chordata, Mammalia, Chiroptera, Rhinolophidae. The transcript is spliced from 4 exons.
UCAAUAACUUGGUACGUAUUUAAGACACAAUACUAAGUACAGACAAAUGGAAAACAGCUACCUUUGUGCUCUGUGGAACACCGUACACUUCAUGUUAUUAACUAAUUACAUGUGAUGUAUUUACCACUAAGUGAGCUUCUUGGUGACAGAAGUCAUGCUUAUUCAUCUUUGAAGUAUUUCUAAUAUAUAGCACAGUGCCUGAAACAAAGGUGCCGAAUAAACUGAAAAGAUUACUAAGAACAGAAAGAAUAGAUACCCAGAAUUGGGUGUCCUCUUUGUUUCGGGGUACAUGAUAGUUCUACAGAUCUUACUGGAUGAAACAAAAAUCUUUCACUGUUCAGAUCACACCUCCAAUAUGACCCUAUGUGAAUUCAAAUUUAAGUAUCUUAGUGACAUGUAGAACAUAUGAGUGAAUUAGAGCAUUGCCAUUUGGAUAUGACAUGAAAACAAUUGCUGAUAAUCACUCCCGCUGAGGGACAUCUUAUAUAAAUAGACUCCUGACCACGUGAAAGUAGAAGUAGGAAACAAGUAGGUGGAGGGCAGUGGUAUCCCUUAACUGUCAAGUCCUAACAUGCCUCAUGGCUAGGAACCCAUUAAUUGAUCAAACAGCUCACUGAUCGGAGAGGAAUCCAAAUAUUCUAGAAAAGAUGAUAAAGUGAUAGUAUAAGAAAUUAAGUGGAAGAAUUAAAGAUCUAAGAAGGAAUGAAAAAAGCAUGAGUGGAAUAGAUGCCAAGGAGUUCGCAGGUCUUCAGAAAUGCAAGUUGUUCUUCCUUCAUUGCAACUUUUGGCCUCGAUUCUCCCAGUAAGAGUCGAUAAAAAUGAUCAAGGGAAUCGAGGUUACCGUCGGAAACUUUUAUAGCUUCCUGUGAUGAAUGUCUAUUAUUUCUCUCUGCCAAAUCUCCCGUCUCCCCUCUUUAUUAAAGGGAACUUCACAUAUGGUUGGGGUUGGGGAUCGUUCCUUUUAGCCCCAUGGUGUAUGAUGUAUUGCCCAGGCCUAGCCAAUCACAGACUAGACCUGCAGGGCCAGAGAUUUAUGGGGGCUGAACACAUAUUUGGAGCCAGGCUGGUGAGAAUCCUCCCUAAGACUUUUGAUAUAACAUUGAAAAAGAAGCUCUGUCUUCUGUAACCAGCGGCACAAGGACCAUGUAAACCAGAGCCCCCAGUAGCCAUCUGCACUGCGAACUGGAAGGAGCGUGUCCGAGGAUAAGGACCAAGAAGAGCUAAGCCAGAGAACUGUGAAGACAUCUUUCAAGCACCUGGAUCCAGACGGGUGGAGACUGAGCACAGGAGUCUGGAGUCCAGGAUGGAGGUUCAAGCUAGAGAAUAAUCCUGGCAUUAGGAUACAUGGAAACUCACUGGGAUGCCUGGGAGAAGGAAGGAAUAUAGUUCAUGGAAAAAGGCAUUGUAUCAUCUCAUAUCAUCACAAGAAGAAGAAAGGUGCUACAGCACCAUAAGAUAUUUUGAGAGAGAGAGAGGGAGAGAGAGAGGGACCACAUUCACACAACUUUAAAGUCAGUACAGUAAGUAUAUUGUUAUAAUUGUUCUAUUUUGUUAUUAGUUGUUGUUAGUCUCUUAAUGUGCCUAGCGAUAAAUUAAACUGUAUCACAGGUAUGUCUGUAUAGGACACAAUCAUAGUAUACAUAGGGUCCCUAUUAUCCACAGUUUCAGGCAUUUACUGGGGGUCUUGGAAUGUAUCUCCCAUGGAUAAGAGGGGACUACUGUGACAGAGAACCACUGACUCUUUUGGAGUCUAAGUCCCAUAACAGGCUGUCCAGGGAAAAUUCAUCUGGUGGUUAUGUGUGGAAUUAACAACUUUGGCUACGGCAGGAGGUGGGGAGAUAAGUUAAAAAGCCGACACCUGGUAUAGCAUAAUAAAUUAGAAUAGAAAGAAAUGUUUAAAAGAAAUUUUUAUGAUGAAUCAGAUGUAGGAGCAGAGGGAGAGGAAAUGUCAGAAACUCAGGUUAAAUAAACAACAACUGUAUCUAAUAGCUUUAAAAUGUUUAGCGUUUCAGAGGCACAAGGACACAACCUCCUGAAAAUUAAAUUUUGGGUGAUGUACUAGUAUAAGUAUUUAGGGAAGAGGGCUUCACUCAGAAAAAUGCAAAAGGUUCUAUAAAGGUGAAGAAUUGUAUGAUCCCAGAGCCUACCUAGCUCCUUGGUUUUCUGCUCAUGAACUCUAUGGUGUCAACCAGGUUCCUGAGAGGCCCAAAGACUCACCCUAGUGGGUACUCGCCCUCACUGUCCAUGUUUUAAUCUAUCUACAUUUUACACUGUGUUCACAUAAAAUUCCACACUAUUAGGCAGCCUUUCCAAAAGAAACUGGCAACUGUGGCCUCUGCUGAUAUCCUCUUAUAACGCAAAAGUUCAGGGUCACUCACUAGUCAGGAACAAGCAAGCCCAGUCAUUAACAUGUAUGUAGUUGUUCUCCUGUGCAAUUUUCUGAGCUCUGUUCAAACCUGGGCUUUCCUUCCACUCCAGGCAAUGUUUGCCACAGCGAUAGACAUGCAUCUUCAACCAAUUAUUGUUACAGU